Molecule: unclassified non-coding RNA, 21 nt
Filed under: Dictyostelium discoideum
Lineage: Eukaryota; Evosea; Eumycetozoa; Dictyosteliales; Dictyosteliaceae
Source: RNAcentral
AACUGAACGUGUAAGAAAGCU